AGCGAACGCUGGCGGCAGGCUUAACACAUGCAAGUCGAGCGGGCAUCUUCGGAUGUCAGCGGCAGACGGGUGAGGAACACGGGGGAACGAACCCUUCGGUUCGGAACAACUCUGGGAAACUGGAGCUAAUACCGGAUAAGCCAUUAUGGGGAAAGGUUUACUGCCGAAGGAUCGGCACGCGGACGAUUAGCUAGUUGGUGGGGUAACGGCCUACCAAGGCGACGAUCAGUAGCUGGUCUGAGAGGAUGAUCCGCCACACUGGGACUGAGACACGGCCCAAAUUCCUCCGGGAGGCCGCAGUGGGGAAUAUUGGACACUGCGCGCAAGCCUGAUCCAGCCAUGCCGCGUGAGUGAUGAAGUCCUUAGGGUUGUAAAGCUCUUUUGUCCGGGACGAUAAUGACGGUACCGGAAGAAUAAGCCCCGCCUAACUUCGU
This 434-nucleotide ribosomal RNA is filed under the name uncultured bacterium. RNAcentral's name for it is "partial 16S ribosomal RNA". It matches the Rfam family "Bacterial small subunit ribosomal RNA", at positions 29 to 506 of the family's 1533-position model. The record is from RNAcentral.